RNAcentral lists this ribosomal RNA (371 nucleotides) under uncultured organism. RNAcentral describes it as "partial 16S ribosomal RNA". It matches the Rfam family "Bacterial small subunit ribosomal RNA", at positions 527 to 896 of the family's 1533-position model. The record is from RNAcentral.
GUAGGUGGCAAGCGUUGUCCGGAAUUAUUGGGCGUAAAGCGCGCGCAGGCGGUCCUUUAAGUCUGAUGUGAAAGCCCACGGCUCAACCGUGGAGGGUCAUUGGAGACUGGGGGACUUGAGUACAGAAGAGGAAAGCGGAAUUCCAAGUGUAGCGGUGAAAUGCGUAGAGAUUGGAGGAACACCAGUGGCGAAGGCGGCUUUCUGGUCUGUAACUGACGCUGAGGCGCGAAAGCGUGGGGAGCAAACAGGGAUUAGAUACCCUGGUAGUCCACGCCGUAAACGAUGAGUGCUAAGUGUUAGGGGGUUUCCGCCCCUUAGUGCUGCAGCUAACGCAUUAAGCACUCCGCCUGGGGAGUACGGCCGCAAGGCUG